AUUGAACGCUGGCGGCAGGCCUAACACAUGCAAGUCGAACGGUAGCACAGAGAGCUUGCCCUCGGGUGACGAGUGGCGGACGGGUGAGUAACGUCUGGGAAACUGCCCGAUGGAGGGGGAUAACUACUGGAAACGGUAGCUAAUACCGCAUAACGUCGCAAGACCAAAGAGGGGGACCUCCGGGCCGCUUGCCACCAGAUGUUCCCAGAUGGGAUUAGCUGGCAGGUAGGGUAAUGGCCUACCUGGGCGACGAUCCCUAGCUGGUCUGAGAGGAUGACCAGCCACACUGGAACUGAGACACGGUCCAGACUCCUACGGGAGGCAGCAGUGGGGAAUAUUGCACAAUGGGCGCAAGCCUGAUGCAGCCAUGCCGCGUGUGUGAAGAAGGCCUUCGGGUUGUAAAGCACUUUCAGCGAGGAGGAAGGCAGUAAGGUUAAUAAGCUUACUGAUUGACGUUACUCGCAGAAGAAGCACCGGCUAACUCCGUGCCAGCCGCCGCCGUAA
RNAcentral lists this ribosomal RNA (504 nucleotides) under uncultured bacterium. RNAcentral's name for it is "partial 16S ribosomal RNA". It matches the Rfam family "Bacterial small subunit ribosomal RNA", at positions 29 to 523 of the family's 1533-position model. The record is from RNAcentral.